CGUGGAAACACCGAUUCCCAUACAACUGCCGAAGUUAAGCAAAGUCGAGCCUGGUCAUUACCUUGACAGGUGACCGCUUGAGAAUAUCAGGUGCUGUAUG
This is a non-coding RNA of Acanthosepion pharaonis, 100 nucleotides long. The record is from the annotation of a GenBank genome assembly. Lineage: Eukaryota; Metazoa; Mollusca; Cephalopoda; Sepiida; Sepiidae.